Molecule: ribosomal RNA, 485 nt
Filed under: uncultured bacterium
Lineage: Bacteria
Description: bacterial SSU rRNA
Rfam family: Bacterial small subunit ribosomal RNA
Source: RNAcentral
AACGAACGCUGGCGGCGUGGAUAAGACAUGCAAGUCGAACGGGACAUUAUUUGUAGCAAUACAGAUGAUGUUCAGUGGCGCAAGGGUGAGUAACACGUGAGCAACCUGCCUUGAAGUGGGGGAUAGCUCGCCGAAAGGCGAAUUAAUACCGCAUGUGGUAGUAAUACUAAAGCCGGGGCAACCUGGCGCUUCUAGAGGGACUCGCGGCCUAUCAGCUAGUUGGUAAGGUAAUGGCUUACCAAGGCUAUGACGGGUAGCUGGUCUGAGAGGACGACCAGCCACACUGGAACUGAGACACGGUCCAGACACCUACGGGUGGCAGCAGUCGAGAAUUUUUCUCAAUGGGGGAAACCCUGAAGGAGCGACGCCGCGUGGAGGAUGAAGGUCUUCGGAUUGUAAACUCCUGUCAUUGGUGAACAAAGUCACAGGUUAACUACCUUGUGAUCUGCUAGUAGCCGAAGAGGAAGGGACGGCUAACUCUGUGC